This 118-nucleotide small nuclear RNA is filed under the name Acanthamoeba castellanii str. Neff. RNAcentral describes it as "U5 spliceosomal RNA". It matches the Rfam family "U5 spliceosomal RNA". Rfam says of the family: U5 RNA is a component of both types of known spliceosome. The precise function of this molecule is unknown, though it is known that the 5' loop is required for splice site selection and p220 binding, and that both the 3' stem-loop and the Sm site are important for Sm protein binding and cap methylation. The record is from Rfam by way of RNAcentral. Lineage: Eukaryota; Discosea; Longamoebia; Acanthamoebidae.
UUGCACAGAGCCAGCAGCAUAACGUAUUGGUUUUUCGCCUUUUACUAAAGACCACCGUGUUGCUGGCUCACUCAAUGUGCCUUCAGUAAUUUUUACCAAGGCCCCUUCGGGGUGCCAC